This 745-nucleotide long non-coding RNA is filed under the name Mus musculus (house mouse). RNAcentral describes it as "cDNA sequence BC023486". Lineage: Eukaryota; Metazoa; Chordata; Mammalia; Rodentia; Muridae. The record is from RNAcentral.
GGUGAGCUUUGGUGAAGCAAACAACCUUACAUGAUGUGAGUGGUCCUUGUGCCCAGUUGAAGCCGAUAUUGACGGAUGUCCUUACUGGUAAGGCUGUCUGGGACUCUCAGUGAAAAGACCGGCCAUGUGUGCCUCCAGAUGGUACUAGAUCCAGGUGCUAGAACAAGAUGAGCAAGUGAAUCUCUCAUACUUCAGAUCCUUCAAGGAUCUUGAAAAGAGCGCUGGAAUCAAAGGCGAACGCCACCACUGCCCGGCCUUGUUUUGUUUUUAAAGACAGUUUUCGGCACACAGAGAGGCUGUGAGUUAGGACGGGGGUUUCUUGCCGUUGCCACCAUUCUCAUUGACACGUUAUGCUGCACACAGCAGAGCCCCAUCCUGAAUGCCCAGCGGUGCCCACAGCCAGGAGGAGCAUUCGAUGUGUGAUGACUCAUCUCGUGCAUCAGACGCUCUCUAAAGUUCCCACAGAUUAUACCAUGGCUUAGUGAGUGCGAUUCUAAGACAGUUCCAAAAGACUUUUCAAUCCGUGGGAGUUUCAAAGUGGAUUCUCAGACAAACAUGGGGAGGACUGAGGCAGGCUUGGACACGCACAGAAUCAGACAACGAUGGUCCGGAGUUCAAAUCCCUGCAACCACAUGGUGGCUCACAACCAACUGUAAUGAGAUCUGGCGCCCUCUUCUGGAGUGUCUGAAGACAGAUACAGUGUACUUACAUAUAGUAAAUAAAUAAAUCUUAAAAAAAAAAAAAA